This 1430-nucleotide ribosomal RNA is filed under the name uncultured Bordetella sp. Its description in RNAcentral is "partial 16S-23S ribosomal RNA intergenic spacer". It matches the Rfam family "Bacterial small subunit ribosomal RNA". The record is from RNAcentral. Lineage: Bacteria; Pseudomonadati; Pseudomonadota; Betaproteobacteria; Burkholderiales; Alcaligenaceae.
AGUCGAACGGCAGCACGGACUUCGGUCUGGUGGCGAGUGGCGAACGGGUGAGUAAUGUAUCGGAACGUGCCUAGUAGCGGGGGAUAACUACGCGAAAGCGUAGCCCUUCGCAUACCGCCCUUCGGGGGAAAGCGGGGGACCUUCGGGCCUCGCACUAUUAGAGCGGCCGAUAUCGGAUUGGCUAGUUGGUGGGGUAACGGCUCACCAAGGCGACGAUCCGUAGCUGGUUUGGAGGACGACCAGCCACACUGGGACUGAGACACGGCCCAGACUCCUACAGGAGGCAGCAGUGGGGAAUUUUGGACAAUGGGGAAACCCUGAUCCAGCCAUCCCGCGUGUGCGAUGAAGGCCUUCGGGUUGUAAAGCACUUUUGGCAGGAAAGAAACGGCACGGGAUAAUACCCCGUGCAACUGACGGUACCUGCAGAAUAAGCACCGGCUAACUACGUGCCUGCAGCCGCGGUAAUGCGUAGAAUUCUGCAAGCGUUAAUCAGGUACUGGGCGUAGAGCGUGCGCAGGCGGUUCCGGAAGAAGAUGUGAAAUCCCAGAGCUUAACUUUGGAACUGCAUUUUUAACUACCGAGCUAGAGUGUGUCAGAGGGAGAGUGGAGAUUCCGCGUGUAGCAGUGAAAUGCGUAGAUAUGCAGAGGGAACACCGAUGGCGAAGGCGGCCUCCUGGGAUAACACUGACGCUCAUGCACACGAAAGCGUGGGGAGCAAACAGGAUUAGAUACCUGGUAGUCCACGCUGAAAGCUUGAUAUCCAGCAGCUGUUGGGGCCUUCGGGCCUUGGUAGCGCAACUAACGCGUGAAGUUGACCGCCUGGGAAGUACGGUCGCAGAUUAAAACUCAAAGGAAUUGACGGGGACCGCACAAGCGGUGGAUGAUGUGGAUUAAUUCGAUGCAACGCGAAAAACCUUACCUACCCUUGACAUGUCUGGAAUCCCGAAGAGAUUUGGGAGUGCUCGCAAGAGAACCGGAACACAGGUGCUGCAUGGCUGUCGUCAGCUCGUGUCGUGAGAUGUUGAGUUAAGUCCCGCAACGAGCGCAACCCUUGUCAUUAGUUGCUACGAAGGGCACUCUAAUGAGACUGCCGGUGACAAACCGGAGGAAGGUGGGGAUGACGUCAAGUCCUCAUGGCCCUUAUGGGUAGGGCUUCACACGUCAUACAAUGGUCGGGACAGAGGGUCGCCAACCCGCGAGGGGAGCCAAUCCCAGAAACCCGAUCGUAGUCCGGAUCGCAGUCUGCAACUCGACUGCGUGAAGUCGGAAUCGCUAGUAAUCGCGGAUCAAUGUCGCGGUGAAUACGUUCGGGUCUUGUACACACCGCCCGUCACACCAUGGGAGUGGGUUUUACCAGAAGUAGUUAGCUAACCGUAAAGGCGAUUACCACAGUAGGAUUCAUGACUGGGGGUGAAGUCGUAACAAGGUAG